GACGAACGCUGGCGGCGUGCUUAACACAUGCAAGUCGAACGGAAAGGCCCUGAUUUUGUGGUGUGAUCGAGUGGCGAACGGGUGAGUAACACGUGAGUAACCUGCCCUUGAUUUUGGGAUAACUUCAGGAAACUGGGGCUACUACCGGAUAGGAGCUCCUGCUGCAUGGUGGGGGUUGGAAAGUUUCGGCGGUUGGGGAUGGAUUCGCGGAUUAUCGGCUUGCUGGUGGGGUGGUGGCUUACCAAGUCUUUGACCGGUAGCCGGCCUGAGAGGGUGACCGGCGACAUGGGGACUAAGAGACGGCGCAGAAGCCUAUGGGAGGCAGCAGGGGGGAAUAUUGCACAAUGGGCGGAAGCCUGAGGCAGCGACGCCGGGUGCGGGAUGACGGCCUGCUGGUUGUAAACCGCAUUCGCCUGUGACGAAGCGGUAGUGACGGUAAUGGGUAAAGAAGCACCGGCUAACUACGUG
RNAcentral lists this ribosomal RNA (468 nucleotides) under uncultured bacterium. Its description in RNAcentral is "partial 16S ribosomal RNA". It matches the Rfam family "Bacterial small subunit ribosomal RNA", at positions 28 to 507 of the family's 1533-position model. The record is from RNAcentral.